RNAcentral lists this unclassified non-coding RNA (820 nucleotides) under Bombus terrestris (buff-tailed bumblebee). RNAcentral describes it as "misc RNA ENSBTSG00005028591.1". The record is from RNAcentral. Lineage: Eukaryota; Metazoa; Arthropoda; Insecta; Hymenoptera; Apidae.
CACGUACAUACACUCAUACCUCAUGACGCAUCGGUACACGAGUGUGUCUAACACGACUUAUAUCCUCUAUCCUCUCGGUUUCAUGAGUCGUUGUCGUUUCGAAAAAGAACCGAUGUCUGUGCCAGCCAAUGGACAGGUCUAUACUGCAUCCUAAGGAGGUAUGCGGCCUCUGCUAUGGGAGUGGAAGGAAUGGAGAGAGAGAAACAGCUCGCCGCGAAGGAGAGACUACAGUCCGUGCCCGGUAACUGUGAGCGAAAGGGGGGCGAACCUUUUUGAUUCUUUUGUACCUCGACGUGCCAGGAAGAAGGAACCAACUCAAUGUAGCUGGAUGCAACGCGUAUGUAUAUAUUAUGUAGACCGUGGAUGGCGCACGAUGGAAACUGCACACGUGCACACGCGACAAGCGUGACCGCGCGCGGCGCCGAGUGGGUUCGUUCGCGCCCGCCUCGUUCCGUCUCGCGGCUUUCUCAUCGAGCCGGUUCAAAAGGUCCUGUCCAGGAUACGGAGGUGAGAACGCAACAAGCGUAGGCUAUAGGGGAGCGACGCUUAAAUGCGGCUGGGCCACCCUGCAGUCUCCUUUUUUCUCUCCGUUUCUUUGACCUACGUGACUGGUGGUGGCAAUGGUGGGGGCUCGAAAGGACGCGGAAAAAGAGGACUCACGGAGAUCGCGCGAGAAAGUGAGAGGACCACCACAGUCCACCGGAGGAGGAUGUUCCUGAUAGGAUGUGAACGAGAUGACUCGUGAACUCUUCCUUUAACAGGAUGACUGCUACGGUGGCCAUCGAUGGUCCACGUAAUUCAAUUUUUUAGAAUUAUUACG